UUGGAGGGCAAGUUCUGGUGCCAGCAGCCGCGGUAAUUUCCAGCUCCAAUAGCGUAUAUUAAAGUUGUUGCAGUUAAAAAGCUCGUAGUUGAAUUUCGGGAUUGACACAUCGGUCGUGCCUUAAGGGGUAUGAACUGGUGUAGUCAGUUUCUCACCUUCUGGAGAACCGCGAUGUCCUUAAUUGGGUGCCGCGAGGAACCAGGACCUUUACUUUGAAAAAAUUAGAGUGUUUAAAGCAGGCAUUUUGCUUGAAUACAUUAGCAUGGAAUAAUAAAAUAGGACGGAUGGUUCUAUUUUGUUGGUUUCUAGGAUCACCGUAAUGAUUAAUAGGGAUAGUUGGGGGCAUUAGUAUUCAAUUGUCAGAGGUGAAAUUCUUGGAUUUAUUGAAGACUAACUACUGCGAAAGCAUUUGCCAAGGAUGUUUUCAUUAAUCAAGAACGAAAGUUAGGGGAUCGAAGACGAUCGGAUACCGUCGUAGUCUUAACCAUAAACUAUGCCGACUAGGAAUCAGACGAUGUUAAUUUUUUAAUGACUCGUUUGGCACCUUACGGGAAACCAAAGUGUUUGGGUUC
RNAcentral lists this ribosomal RNA (572 nucleotides) under uncultured Glomeromycotina. RNAcentral's name for it is "SSU rRNA". It matches the Rfam family "Eukaryotic small subunit ribosomal RNA", at positions 548 to 1114 of the family's 1831-position model. The record is from RNAcentral. Lineage: Eukaryota; Fungi; Glomeromycota.